Molecule: long non-coding RNA, 203 nt
Filed under: Homo sapiens (human)
Lineage: Eukaryota; Metazoa; Chordata; Mammalia; Primates; Hominidae
Description: HSALNT0124474
Source: RNAcentral
CCAGGCGGAAAUAUUUAUUUGAAAAAUUGAAAACACAGAUGCAAUGUAUUAUACAAAGAAAGGUCUUAAUACCAUAAUAAAAGUAUUGUUGGAGGGAAACAGAAGCCAGUGGCCACCUGCCCUGGGAAGGCCUGAGAAUCCAUCUCUUGGCGUUUGAUCUGUGUCAGCGUCAUGCUUGAGAAGUCCAUGUUGUCUGCAAGGAU